GCUGAACGAAAAUUAGGGACAUCACUAUGAGACCAAACGUUAACAUUGUCGCCUAUGGGAAAACAAUUAGUGGACUGUACCCAUAUUAUGCACUGAGUGACUGGGAUUUUUUACCGAGAGGAGCACCGACAGCAGCCAGUGUUUUACAUAUCGCCAUAUCUACACCAUUGUUCGACCUUAAUAUGGCUGAUAGGGCUCGGGAUUUUGCAUUUCUGCACCAGAUUUUAAACCGUGCGCGCGGAGUCCGACA
Saccostrea cuccullata (small rock oyster) is the source of this 250-nucleotide long non-coding RNA. RefSeq lists it as uncharacterized. The record is from RefSeq and is a predicted model, not a curated record. NCBI's taxonomy places the organism in Eukaryota, Metazoa, Mollusca, Bivalvia, Ostreida, Ostreidae. The transcript has 3 exons.